This is a non-coding RNA of Prunus avium (sweet cherry), 503 nucleotides long. Lineage: Eukaryota; Viridiplantae; Streptophyta; Magnoliopsida; Rosales; Rosaceae. The record is from RefSeq and is a predicted model, not a curated record.
UAUUGACUUUUCCAAUUUCGUUUCAGCUCUUCAUUUGAUCGAGGGUCGUCAUCGACGGCGAACUUGGGGGAAAAGGGCUUGGCUUUCUCAGUUGUGUUUUCCGAUUUUAUCAAAAAUCAAAGCAUUUUUCGUCUUUCUUUGAUACUGGUCCACACUUGCAAGGGAUUUACGAUUUUCUGGUCUAAUGGUUAUUAUGAAGGCUUGACAAUGUGACAGAGUAUGGGAAGUAAAAGUCCAUAUGCAGGUCUGAUUUAGCUUCAGCUCUUGGAGACCAUCUCAAAGAAGGAUUGAGCAAUGAUGACACGCACAAAGUUGCUAGCAUGUCAGUAGAGUAAAAGGAGAUCUUUACAGGGGUGGCGUGAGAAACUUGCACUACACUUCUUCCCAAUCCCAUCUAGGCAGCUGGUUGUUGAAUAGAUUAAGGCAUUUUCAUGUAUCCAAGAAAUAAUUUGAAUAAGACUUUAGUAAUGUUUUCUAGUAAUAUGUUUAUGUACAUUUAAAGA